CCAUUUCCUUUUCGUCGAGAAAGAGUAUUUUGGAGUGGUGCAGAAAGAUUGAUUUGUGUGCAGGAGACCUCUUGGCAAGCCGUUGCAACUUGCAUGCGGAGUAAUAAGGAACUUAGUUCAAUUUGUGUGCAGGAGACCUCUCAGCUCCAAGUAGUACCCAUGUCUUCUUCCUGAGAUAAAAUCCCCUUCUCCGCAGGCACUGGGCAACAUCUGAAACUCGCCGCCAGUUUCCGCACUGCAGCAGGCUUCUCAAGAAGGUCAACAUAUGACUGCAGAAAUGCGUAUACCAUUACAUGACUUACGUAAGAUUACAACUCAAUUCUCAGUGGACUCAAGGAUAGGAAAGGGUGGGUAUGGAGACGUUUACAAGGGAGUGUACAAAGGAAGAGAUGUUGCUGUGAAGUUGCUUCAUGUUGAUACGGUGCAAGGAAUAGAUGACCUACAAUAUCUCAGUGAAGUUGAUAUCCUUUCGAGGAUUAAGCACCC
Long non-coding RNA from Triticum aestivum (bread wheat), 486 nucleotides. RefSeq lists it as uncharacterized. The record is from RefSeq and is a predicted model, not a curated record. NCBI's taxonomy places the organism in Eukaryota, Viridiplantae, Streptophyta, Magnoliopsida, Poales, Poaceae. The transcript has 3 exons.